Schizosaccharomyces pombe (fission yeast) is the source of this 257-nucleotide non-coding RNA. The record is from the annotation of a GenBank genome assembly. Lineage: Eukaryota; Fungi; Ascomycota; Schizosaccharomycetes; Schizosaccharomycetales; Schizosaccharomycetaceae.
CCUGCAACUUAGCUAUUUGAUGAAUACAGCUACUGAUUGCCGAAGAGACUUCAUGUUCUAUUUCAUCCCUUUGAACCUCAUCUAGCUCAAGCUUUGAAAGCUCCUCAAGUGAACACUCCAUUAAAGGUUUUGAGAGUCUUUGGACAUUUGAAAAUGUUCUGUCCUUUAAAUAAGCUCCACGAAUCUUUUUCAAAAAUACUAGAAGAUUAACAAUCGUUUCAUGCUGCUAACGUUAGCAAUUUGAACUCUCUGAUUAG